Molecule: signal recognition particle RNA, 97 nt
Filed under: Escherichia coli
Lineage: Bacteria; Pseudomonadati; Pseudomonadota; Gammaproteobacteria; Enterobacterales; Enterobacteriaceae
Also listed under: 3 other names
Description: signal recognition particle sRNA small type
Rfam family: Bacterial small signal recognition particle RNA
About the family: The signal recognition particle (SRP) is a universally conserved ribonucleoprotein involved in the co-translational targeting of proteins to membranes. Archaeal SRP consists of a 7S RNA and homologues of the eukaryotic SRP19 and SRP54 proteins.
Source: RNAcentral
UGUUGGUUCUCCCGCAACGCUACUCUGUUUACCAGGUCAGGUCCGGAAGGAAGCAGCCAAGGCAGAUGACGCGUGUGCCGGGAUGUAGCUGGCUGGG